CGUUAGCACUACCGUUACUACCCGUAAGCAA
RNAcentral lists this non-coding RNA (31 nucleotides) under Homo sapiens (human). Lineage: Eukaryota; Metazoa; Chordata; Mammalia; Primates; Hominidae. The record is from RNAcentral.